AUACGGAGGGGACUAGCGUUGUUCGGAAUUACUGGGCGUAAAGAGUUCGUAGGCGGACUAACAAGUAAGAGGUGAAAUCCCAGGGCUCAACCCUGGAACUGCCUUUUAAACUGUCAGUCUAGAGACCGGAAGAGGUUAGGGGAAUACCUAGUGUAGAGGUGAAAUUCGUAGAUAUUAGGUGGAACACCAGUGGCGAAGGCGCCUAACUGGUCCGGUACUGACGCUGAGGAACGAAAGCGUGGGGAGCAAACAGGAUUAGAAACCCUAGUAGUCC
Molecule: ribosomal RNA, 274 nt
Filed under: uncultured bacterium
Lineage: Bacteria
Description: partial 16S ribosomal RNA
Rfam family: Bacterial small subunit ribosomal RNA
Source: RNAcentral